CCUACGGGAGGCAGCAGUGAGGAAUAUUGGUCAAUGGGCGGGAGCCUGAACCAGCCAAGUCGCGUGAGGGAAGACGGUCCUAUGGAUUGUAAACCUCUUUAGGCGGGGAGCAAUGCCGGGCACGCGUGCCCGGAGGGAGAGUACCCGCAGAAUAAGCAUCGGCUAACUCCGUGCCAGCAGCCGCGGUAAUACGGAGGAUGCGAGCGUUAUCCGGAUUUAUUGGGUUUAAAGGGUGCGUAGGUGGGUGCUUAAGUCAGGUGUGAAAACUCUGGGCUCAACCUGGAGGCGGAACGUGAAACUGGGUAUCUUGAGGGGAGGAGAGGAAAGUUGAAGUCCUAGGGUAGCCGUGAAAUGUGUAGAUAUUAGGAGGAACACCAGUGGCGAAGGCGACUUUCUGGACUGUACCUGACGCUGAGGCGCGAAAGCGUGGGUAGCGAACGGGAUUAGAUACCCGUGUAGUC
Molecule: ribosomal RNA, 461 nt
Filed under: uncultured bacterium
Lineage: Bacteria
Description: partial 16S ribosomal RNA
Rfam family: Bacterial small subunit ribosomal RNA
Source: RNAcentral